Suricata suricatta (meerkat) is the source of this 220-nucleotide long non-coding RNA. RefSeq lists it as uncharacterized. Lineage: Eukaryota; Metazoa; Chordata; Mammalia; Carnivora; Herpestidae. The record is from RefSeq and is a predicted model, not a curated record. The transcript is spliced from 2 exons.
GUAGGGAAAGGCAGCUGAAAUGAACAUAGAGGGUAAAAUACCUCAAAAAACUAAAGGCUAUUGAAAGGGGGCAAAAAACUGAUUUUCAAUGAUUAUUGGGAAUCAUCUAUGACUUCCUGCAACUGAAUUUACUACAAUACAUAGAACAACAUGCCAUCCGAAGCACACAGUGCCCUUUCUAAAAGACAUUUAUCUAGCACAAAAAAAAAAAAAAAAAAAA